GGAGAAUUCAAGGACGAGAUUUAGAAGAAAACAACACUAGCUAAUAAUGAGUUCAAAUAAUUAAGGUAUAAUCUCAAACUUUACUUAUUUGUGACAAAUCAUUUAUGAUAAUAAAGUUUAUUUUGUGAUAGAAUUUAAUUAUUUGAUCCCCACAUUAUGGGUACAGUUUACACGGCAGAUUUUGAAUAGUUAUUUAAUUAGCAAAUAUGGUGUAGAUUUAAUCAGUAGUUGCUUUGGAGUUCGAUGAGUUUCACCCAAUUUGUAAAUUAAGGGUUUUGUAAAUUAGGGUUCUUAAUAGAAAUUGGGGAUUUUGUGGUUGUUGUUGGUUUGAAUAAAUGGAGUUGUGAGCUGUGAUUGAGGGGGGAAAGAGGGAGCUUCGGAGGAAGCAGCCCUGGCGUCGGAACACCGGAGCUGCCCCGACGACGUUGCCGGAAAACGCAGCGGCGGAGGUGGCCUGUGAAAUCGCGAGGGAAGAAGAGACAGUGGCGAGAGAGAGAGAGAGAGAGGGUGGCAGUGGAGCCGCCGGAGUCGAACUCCGGCCGGCGAUGGUGGUGUAUGGCAGGGGAGAGGGGAGGAGGAAGAUGAGGGAGCAAGAGGGGCAGUUUGGUAAUUUUCCUGUAAAUGGGUUCUGAUAAUUAGUCUGCUGGGUGAGAAAUUGUUGAUCAUUUUUACAACAAAUUACAUAUUUGAAUUCCUUGCGGAAAAAUAGAUGGAAUAGGCUCUUGAAUCGUUAAAAACGGAUUAAAAACUAAGGAGAUAUCAGUGGUCAAAGUUUCACCAUUAGAGUUGACUUCGAGGAGAGAGAAAGUAUUGGUGAGGUUGAGGAAGAUGAUGAUGUGGCAGCUUUUGAUUGGUUAAAAUAUUCAAGAUUAGUAUUUAAUUAAUUUGAGGGGUUAAAUGAUAGAAUAAGAAAAAGUAUAAAACAUGAAAGUUUAAGUAAAGGAUUUUUCGGAUUUAAUGGUGAAGUCUAAUUUUGGGUUCGAGAAAUAUUAAAUAAAAUUAUAUUUUGUGAUUUAAUAAAUAAUUAAUGAAAUUGAUGGAUAUAUUAGUUAAGUGGGCAAUUUAGUAGAAGUGAGACUUUGGGAAAUUGAUAUAAUGGAACAAAUUGGAGAUAUUUGUGUGAAUUAGUGUCGGCGAACAAAUAAAUUAUAAGUAGAGAUUUAUAAUAUUAGAUUUAAAGAGAGAUUGGAUUAACAAAUAAUUCAAGUGGACUUCUUAAAAAGAAGAUAAUUAUUUAAAUAAUAUCUAUUAUUCGAAGAUUUAAGGGAUAAUAGAAAAACAAUCUAAAUAUUAUCAAUAAGGAGAACUACAAAUUAUGAAUGUAUAGUGGAUUAUUCGAGAUUAUUUAAAGUGAAGAUUACUAAAUUCACUAUUUUGUGUGAUAUAGAAUAUUUACUAUCUGGAAAGGCGAGCUCAAUUUGAGACAAGAAUAUUUUGUGUUAUUAUCAAAAGACGCCAGACAAGUUCACUUAAUCCUUCCUUUGAUGUGCCCAUGAUGUGCAAAUAUUUGUUGAACGUGAUUUCAUUUGAUAUUUAUAUCUGUGUUUGAAUCCCGAUAUUUUGAGAUGUAUUUGAAUAUUCGAGAAGAUCGUGAAGAAAUGGACACUAUAAUAUUUGAUAUUUGUUCAGAUUAUUGUGAAAACAACCUUUCUUCGUUGUCCGAGUCCAUCCAUUGUUCGGGUUGACUUAUUAUUUUGUGAAACCAGAAUUAUCAUAAAAUUUCAAAUCUUUAACCUAUCACUCCUUUUUGAGAUGAUUACCCUAUUUUGUAAUCUUUAUUUCGUUACAGAAAUUCAUAUUCGAUAUUUAAUUCUAACCUUACUCAUAUUCGAGAAGUCUUAUUCAUAUCUUUGAGUUAUUAUAUCAAUGCAAGAAUAACUCAGUUGAAUUUUCUUUAAACCUUGAUUAUUCGCUAAUACCGACAUUUUAAUUAUCGAGACCCCGAACUUUGAUUCGUCUUUCUUACGAAGUUUUAUGAUUCUGAUGUUUUCUUCAGAUAACUGAUUAUUCUUUCUAUAUACUUUAAAGGGGAUAAUUUGCUUGAUUAUUGAGUUCCCCUCCUAGUUUCUUAUUCUCGUUCAAUCUGUUAAACUUCUAUUCUUUUAUUCGAACUAUAAUUAAUCGAUUUUAUACAAGGAUCAUUAACCAUGUUCGGUUCUAUGUUAUUGUUCUUGGGAUGUUGUGAUCGGAUUACUGUUUCUUCGUAAUCCGGCCGAGAGCUAUUUAAUUCUGAAUUGUGAGGAUGCAUUGUUCGCAUUCUUGUGAGAAAGGGGAAGAUUUAUUCAACAUGAAGUGAGCCAAUUUGUACUCGGGGAAUGAAUUUCAUAAACUGGUCAACACGAAUGAUUUACAUUCGUGGAAGAGUGGAAAUAUCUGUUGGCCCUAUGUGUGGGACAACUUUAAGGGUUGAAAGUGAUAACCCUUAUGCUAGCAAAUAAAUGGGGGAAACUGUGUGGCGCCAUUCGGAAGUCGCGAUCAGACUACGAAGGUGACACGGGGUGGUAUCUACUUAGUGGCGGUGAUCGAGCCAUUUGGUGGAACCAUCAAGGAUGGAGACCAGUAUUAUUAUUAUUCUUUGAUUUCUUGAGUUCAUUGUGUGAUUAUAUGCAGCUCUCAUUUUGAAUCUGCUUAAUUGUUAUAUCUGCUUAAAUUCCUUUAUCUAAUCUGUGGUGUUUGCACUUGAACUGUGAACUUGCUGAGCAUUAAAUUGCUCAUACUUGCAACUCUUUAUUUCUUUGAACAGUAAAGACAGAAAAUGGCACAAAUGAGAAGGGUAAUUCGGAAGCAUAUAAUAGCAAAAUCAAUGGCAAAGCGUGAGGCUGUGGCACGAAGGGUGCGAAGACUUGUUCCAGUAACGAGAAUGUUUAAUGAUUAUAAUAAUGGUAGAUUGUACUCUUGAACUUAUCAUUGUAAUGUUAGAAUAGACUGCGUGGAAGUGUAAGAUCGACCCUGGACUUGUGGGGCGAGCUAUGUAACGUAAGACAGGUAUGCUAUUACAGUGUGACGGCCUAGAUCCGGGAUAUACGGAUCUGGG
RNAcentral lists this long non-coding RNA (3034 nucleotides) under Daucus carota (carrot). RNAcentral's name for it is "long non-coding RNA (DCAR_LNC000145)". The record is from RNAcentral. Lineage: Eukaryota; Viridiplantae; Streptophyta; Magnoliopsida; Apiales; Apiaceae.